UUUUUUUUUUUUUUUUGGUACAGCAUGGUCUGUAAAUACAAGCCAACUUCAUCAUCUGGUGUUCAACUAAAGAAACACCCAAUACUGAAGGAAAAUUGGCUGCAUCGGACCUUUUGGGAAGCUGUAUAUUCACUUUCAAUGUGGCACUUUUCUAAGGCAUUUUUUAAAGUUUCAUUUAAAAAAAUUAUUCUUAUGAAAUAUUUCAGGAAUAGCAAAAGUAUACCAUUUUUUCUCCUUUGUUCUUCAUUUAAUUUGCACAGACUGAACAUAAAUACAAUAUAAUUCCAUGUUAUAAGUAUUUAUUGAGUACCUAUUAAAUGCAUAUUAUUUCCUAUCUCCCAAUUAGCUUGCAAGGUGAAUGUUAUUCUCUCCAUUUUACAGAUGAGGAAACUAAGGCUCAAAGAAAUUAAAAUGUACCCAGCUUAAAAAUGAUAGAGCUGAAUUUGGACCCAAGUUUGCUUAAAUUUAAAGCCUGGACUCUUUUCUUAAUAUCAAGAUGCUAAUAAGUAAAACAGGAAUCUUUAUAAAACAAAAAGAUGGCAUUUAAGUGAAAUCUUGAUUAUGAAUGAGAAAAAGCAAUCUCAUUUGGGGGGAAAAUGUGCUAAACUAAAGAUCCUAACUUUUGGAAUAAACUGGGAAACUGGAUUUUUAAAAAUGUGUAUCAGAUCAACUUUAUUGCAACAAUAAUUUAGGAAAAAUAAUCAGAGUUACACAGUACUUGAAAGAUGGUAAGCAGAGAGAGCUAUCUCAGUCCCUCCUUCCAUACAAUUGACUCAGCACAGUGCUUGGCAAAUGUUUGUUGAAUGAAUGCAUCAGGAUCUAGUUCAACAGCAAUCACUUUCUUGGAGAGAAAUAGCCCAAGGUAUAGACGAUGAGGACAGGCAGUGCUUCCUAAUGCAUCCUUAGGGAGACUGUUAUACAGGAGCAGUCAUCCACUUAUUAAUCCAUUUAGAAAUCAUUUCUCUCCUUGGCCUUUUGUUGGGUUAGCUCUGCCCAUGUGAUACACGUACCAGGAAGCCUAGCUAUGGACACUAGUUCUCUAGCUUCAGUGGGCAGUCAGCCCUGCUGCUCACCUCUUCUGACUUGCUCUCAUCCCCUUCUCCCUCCUCCACCUCUGAUGCCUAACUCCGCUUCAUGUUGCGUCACAGAGCAGUGCACCAUGGUGCCCCCUUACUUGUCUGACUCACUAGGACAUGCUUCUUAGGCUUUCACUCUCAGCGUUUUCUCUGGGACAUGAUUGGGUCACUUCUAACAUCUCCACUCACCCCUAGCUACAGGUUUUGCUUGGUCCACACAAGAUCCAUGUUGGCCACCUCAGCUCUACCUGGCCUUUCCAUCUGGGAUAGAAAGGUACAUAUUCUGCUCACUAUGCUAGGAUCUGUAUGGGAAUAUUUUAUGCAGCUGUGCUGCAAGGCAGCUCUCCUCACUCACCAGCUUCCAUGACAGCUUUAGAAAUAACGAAACCCCAACAUCUGUAUGUUCAUACAAAUAAACCCACUCCACCACCGGGUGGAUUUCUCCCCAAAAUUAUGAUGUCAAAGUUGUAUAAGAACAGGCCAAUCCUUUGGAAGAACCUCUCUAUGUAGAAAGAAGGAAUUUCAAGAACUGUUUAUCUCAGAAACAUCCUUUGUGCUGUACUAGUUUUCUUGGACUACCAUAACAAAAUACCACACUGGGUGGCAAGAACAGCAAAAAUUUGUUUUCUCACAGUUUUGGAGGGUAGAAGUCCAAGAUGAAGGUGUCAGCAGGGCUGGAUUCCUCUGAGGACUCUCUCCUUGGCUUGCAGGUGGCUGCCCUCUUACUGCCUCUUCACAUGGUCUUUUCCUCUGUAUCUGCAUCUUUCAUGUCUCUUUGCGUGCCUGAAUUUCCUCUUCUGAUAGACAUCAGUCAGAUUGGAUUAGGACCCAUCUCAAUUUUAACCUCAUUUAACGUAAUCACGUAUUUAAACACCCUGCCUCCAAAUAAAUAAAGUGACAUUCUGAGGUACCAGGGGUUUGGACUUCAACAUACGAAUAUGGGGGGACAGAAUUCCAGCCAUAACAUGUGCCCCCUCAGAUUCCUUCCACUCAAACUGCCUCCCAGACUCACAGCCUCCACCAUGGAUGAUAGCUCUGUCCAGGCAGCUGUGUCCUAGAGUCUGGCUUCUCCUGCCUCUUCUGUACUCACACAGCGCGCCAGCCUGCCAAGCGUAGUACCAGGCUUCCUGAGUGACUGUCUGAAGGGGUUGGAUGCUAUGACAGAAAUGUGAAGACAUUAACACUCUCCGAGGCAAACUUUGAUGAUGGGGAAAUGGGAGACCGAAGGGUGCAGGUGGUUAAAUUCCUUGGAUUGAUGACUCUGAGGCACUUUGUCUCCACACAGUCUGUCCUGAGAUAGUGUAGGGGAGCAGAUGUACCUGCUGAGAGAUCAGAUGUCACCUGUGGCUUUGUGGUGAAGCAAUGACCAGCGUGGGUAAGCAUCACCUUGCAUGGUUUCCCAUCUUCCCUUGUUUAACUUCCCUUUUCCCUUGCGCUUGCUGCCGUGACUUUGUACCUCCCAAGUGAUCCCAGAAACAACAUCAUCACCCAGUCCUUGCUUCACGCUC
This 2584-nucleotide long non-coding RNA is filed under the name Macaca fascicularis (crab-eating macaque). RNAcentral's name for it is "lncRNA (ENSMFAG00000062281.1)". Lineage: Eukaryota; Metazoa; Chordata; Mammalia; Primates; Cercopithecidae. The record is from RNAcentral.